UCCCUCCUAAUUAUCGUUACUAGGCUCCAACAGUCUGACUUCUUUUCGAGCGCCACACUCUCUUCCUGGAGCAGAGAUCAGAGAUGAGGUUUGAAAGGAAGAGGAUGAAAGAAACCACUGAUGAGUUCUCCCCAGGAAGCAGUCCUUGGCACAGACUGAUGCACCAUGGAGACUUGCAGAGGUGUGACAAGCCAUGCUCAUCAGGAGUUGUUCAUUUAGUGUAAGAA
Molecule: long non-coding RNA, 227 nt
Filed under: Urocitellus parryii (Arctic ground squirrel)
Lineage: Eukaryota; Metazoa; Chordata; Mammalia; Rodentia; Sciuridae
Description: lncRNA (ENSUPAG00010009553.1)
Source: RNAcentral